UUAUAAUGCUGGGGUUGUAGCUGGCCUUUCAAUCGAGAGGUAUUGUGCACGCCCUGGUUAUUCCAAUUCUUAUACCUCUGUGCACUUUACAUAGAAAGAUUUACUAGUUGAGUGAAAGGGUCGACUCUCCGGGGUUGAACCAAGUAAUUCGACUGGUAAGCUUUCUGUGGUUCAUACAUUUAUACCAGUCAGUUUAGAAUGUAACACCGCGUAUAACGCAAACUAUAUACAACUUUCAGCAACGGAUCUCUUGGCUCUCGCAUCGAUGAAGAACGCAGCGAAAUGCGAUAAGUAAUGUGAAUUGCAGAAUUCAGUGAAUCAUCGAAUCUUUGAACGCACCUUGCACUCCUUGGUAUUCCGAGGAGUAUGCCUGUUUGAGUGUCAUGGUAUUCUCAAUUCUAACAACUUUGUGUUGUCGGAAUUGGACUUGGAGGUUUUUUGCCGGAGCUUCGGCUUUUCUGGCUCCUCUCAAAUGCAUUAGUGUGAAUCAAGUUACACGUUACUCAGUGUGAUAAUUAUCUGCGCUGUUUCAACGUUGACUUUAUAAGUGUUCAUGCUUAUAACCCGUCUGUUGACUCAGACACUUUACUAUGAAAUCUGACCUCAAAUCAGGUAGGACUACCCGCUGAACUUAAGCAUAUCAAUAAGCGGAGGAAAAGAAACUAACAAGGAUUCCCCUAGUAACUGCGAGUGAAGCGGGAAAAGCUCAAAUUUAAAAUCUGGCAGUCUUUGAUUGUCCGAGUUGUAGUCUGGAGAAGUGUUAUCGCUGGACCGUGUACAAGUCUCUUGGAAAUAGAGCGUCAUAGAGGGUGAGAAUCCCGUCUUUGACACGGACUACCAGUGCUUUUGUGAUGCGCUCUCAAAGAGUCGAGUUGUUUGGGAAUGCAGCUCAAAA
Molecule: ribosomal RNA, 895 nt
Filed under: Podoscypha sp. MS98
Lineage: Eukaryota; Fungi; Basidiomycota; Agaricomycetes; Polyporales; Podoscyphaceae
Description: eukaryotic LSU rRNA
Rfam family: Eukaryotic large subunit ribosomal RNA (bases 599-895)
Source: RNAcentral